UACGGAGGGUGCAAGCGUUAUCCGGAUUCACUGGGUUUAAAGGGUGCGUAGGCGGGUAAGUAAGUCCGUGGUGAAAUCUCUGAGCUUAACUCAGAAAAUGCCGUGGAUACUAUUUGCCUUGAAUAUUGUGGAGGUGAGCGGAAUAUGUCAUGUAGCGGUGAAAUGCUUAGAUAUGACAUAGAACACCAAUUGCGAAGGCAGCUCACUACACAAUCAUUGACGCUGAGGCACGAAAGCGUGGGGAUCAAACAGG
Molecule: ribosomal RNA, 253 nt
Filed under: uncultured bacterium
Lineage: Bacteria
Description: partial 16S ribosomal RNA
Rfam family: Bacterial small subunit ribosomal RNA
Source: RNAcentral